RNAcentral lists this ribosomal RNA (497 nucleotides) under uncultured bacterium. RNAcentral's name for it is "partial 16S ribosomal RNA". It matches the Rfam family "Bacterial small subunit ribosomal RNA", at positions 28 to 507 of the family's 1533-position model. The record is from RNAcentral.
GAUGAACGCUGGCGGCGUGCCUAAUACAUGCAAGUCGAGCGAACGGACGAGAAGCUUGCUUUUCUGAUGUUAGCGGCGGACGGGUGAGUAACACGUGGAUAACCUACCUAUAAGACUGGGAUAACUUCGGGAAACCGGAGCUAAUACCGGAUAAUAUUUUGAACCGCAUGGUUCAAAAGUGGAAGACGGUCUUGCUGUCACUUAUAGAUGGAUCCGCGCUGCAUUAGCUAGUUGGUAAGGUAACGGCUUACCAAGGCAACGAUGCAUAGCCGACCUGAGAGGGUGAUCGGCCACACUGGAAGUGAGACACGGUCCAGACUCCUACGGGAGGCAGCAGUAGGGAAUCUUCCGCAAUGGGCGAAAGACUGACGGAGCAACGCCGCGUGAGUGAUGAAGGUCUUCGGAUCGUAAAACUCUGUUAUUCGGGAAGAACAUAUGUGUAAGUAACUGUGCACAUAUUGACGGUACCUAAUCAGAAAGCCACGGCUAACUACGUG